This 69-nucleotide transfer RNA is filed under the name Zootoca vivipara (common lizard). RNAcentral's name for it is "tRNA-Ala". Lineage: Eukaryota; Metazoa; Chordata; Lepidosauria; Squamata; Lacertidae. The record is from RNAcentral.
UAGGCCUUAGCUUAAUUAAAGUGUUUGGGUUGCAUUCAGAAGAUGUAUAAUAAAGUUAUACAGGUCUUA